This 497-nucleotide ribosomal RNA is filed under the name uncultured bacterium. Its description in RNAcentral is "partial 16S ribosomal RNA". It matches the Rfam family "Bacterial small subunit ribosomal RNA", at positions 28 to 507 of the family's 1533-position model. The record is from RNAcentral.
GAUGAACGCUGGCGGCGUGCCUAAUACAUGCAAGUCGAGCGAACAGACGAGGAGCUUGCUCCUCUGACGUUAGCGGCGGACGGGUGAGUAACACGUGGAUAACCUACCUAUAAGACUGGGAUAACUUCGGGAAACCGGAGCUAAUACCGGAUAAUAUAUUGAACCGCAUGGUUCAAUAGUGAAAGACGGUUUUGCUGUCACUUAUAGAUGGAUCCGCGCCGCAUUAGCUAGUUGGUAAGGUAACGGCUUACCAAGGCGACGAUGCGUAGCCGACCUGAGAGGGUGAUCGGCCACACUGGAACUGAGACACGGUCCAGACUCCUACGGGAGGCAGCAGUAGGGAAUCUUCCGCAAUGGGCGAAAGCCUGACGGAGCAACGCCGCGUGAGUGAUGAAGGUCUUCGGAUCGUAAAACUCUGUUAUUAGGGAGGAACAAAUGUGUAAGUAACUAUGCACGUCUUGACGGUGCCUAAUCAGAAAGCCACGGCUAACUACGUG